Molecule: long non-coding RNA, 3576 nt
Filed under: Salmo salar (Atlantic salmon)
Lineage: Eukaryota; Metazoa; Chordata; Actinopteri; Salmoniformes; Salmonidae
Description: lncRNA (ENSSSAG00000104689.1)
Source: RNAcentral
CACACUCUCUGAGUUCCUCUAUUGACAGGGUUUACCUCCAGACCCACACACUCUCUGAGUUCAUCUAUUGGCAGGGUUUACCUCCAGACCCACACAUUCUCUGAGUUCAUCUAUUGGCAGGGUUUACCUCCAGACCCAUACAUUAUGUCCAUGGUGCUGUCAAAGUGACCAUGUGGUCCAGUAGAUGGAGUGGUUGUGGUGGUAUAAAGGUCCAUAGCUACACAGACUGGGCACAUUAAUCAGUGUCCAAUUUACACAGCACCAUCCAGAGGUGAGGAUGGGUUCUGAACUUUUGAUUGCAAACAUAGAGGGCAUCUGUUAGGGACUGGGUUUACCAGACCUAGGGCUAGGCUAGACAAAGGGUUUACCAGACCUAGGGCUAGGCUAGACGAAGGGUUUACCAGACCUAGGGCUAGGCUAGACGAAGGGUUUACCAGACCUAGGGCUAGGCUAGACGAAGGGUUUACCAGACCUAGGGCUAGGCUAGACGAAGGGUUUACCAGACCUAGGGCUAGGCUAGACAAAGGGUUUACCAGACCUAUGGCUAGGCUAGAUGAAGGGUUUACCAGACCUAGGGCUAGGCUAGACGAAGGGUUUACCAGACCUAGGGCUAGGCUAGACGAAGGGUUUACCAGACCUAGGGCUAGGCUAGACGAAGGGUUUACCAGACCUAGGGCUAGGCUAGACGAAGGGUUUACCAGACCUAGGGCUAGGCUAGACGAAGGGUUUAACAGACGUAGGGCUAGGCUAGACGAAGGGUUUAACAGACGUAGGGCUAGGCUAGACGAAGGGUUUACCAGACCUAGGGCUAGGCUAGACGAAGGGUUUACCAGACCUAGGGCUAGGCUAGACGAAGGGUUUACCAGACCUAGGGCUAGGCUAGACGAAGGGUUUAACAGACGUAGGGCUAGGCUAGACGAAGGGUUUACCAGACCUAGGGCUAGGCUAGACGAAGGGUUUACCAGACCUAGGGCUAGGCUAGACGAAGCGUUUACCAGACCUAGGGCUAGGCUAGACGAAGGGUUUACCAGACCUAGGGCUAGGCUAGACGAAGGGUUUAACAGACGUAGGGCUAGGCUAGACGAAGGGUUUAACAGAUGUAGGGCUAGGCUAGACGAAGGGUUUACCAGACCUAGGGCUAGGCUAGACGAAGGGUUUACCAGACCUAGGGCUAGGCUAGACGAAGGGUUUACCAGACCUAGGUUUAGAGGAAGGGAUCCCCAUGACAACAUCAACUGAACGAAUUACAAUCUGAACAUUCUAAAAUGGUGGUGGGGGGGGGGUGAAUGGAGAAAUGAAUGAACAGGGUAGAGAGAGCCCAUCCCACCCUCACCAGGGCCUCUCGUCUCUGAAGUCAGUGCCCACCCCGUUUCUCUCUCACUCCUCUCCCUGCCUCAUGCUGCCAGCCAGCAGGGAAACUAGGUCACUGAACUCUGUCUGCUCUCUGUUUUUUGUAUAUAAAUUAAAGCCAAAAGGCUGAACUCUCCCUCUCUAGCUGGUCAGCCGUCGCCACAAAGCUUUUCACCAGAGGAGGGUUAGAGUAAAAAAACACAUACAGGCAGGCAGUCACACACACAUACAGGCAGGCAGUCACACACACAAACAGGCAGGCAGUCACACACACAAACAGGCAGCAAGUCACACACACAAACAGGCAGGCAGUCACACACAUACAAACAGGCAGGCACACAAACAGGCAGUCACACACACAAACAGGCAGGCACACACACAUACAGGCAGGCACACACACAUACAGGCAGGCACACACACAUACAGGCAGGCACACACACACAAACAGGCAGGCACACACACAGGCAGGCAGGCAGGCACACACACACACAAACAGGCAGUCACACACACAAACAGGCAGUCACACACACAAACAGGCAGUCACACACAAUCAGGCAUGCAUGCAUGCAGACAGACAGCAUAAAACACUAAAACAUGCAUGCAGACAGACAGACAGGGUAAAACACUAAAACAUGCAAGCGCGCCCUCACACACACAGUAAACAAACCCAGAUAUCCAGUAUAAUCCUCUCUGGCUAAAUAUGUUUGGGAUUUUUAAGGAGCGGGUCAAAAUAAGUCAUGCUGCGCCGGAGGCUGCAGUGCUAUCUCUGACAAGCCAAGGGAGGAUUUGUGCUGUGCAGAUUCACUGCAUAUUUCUAUUUCUGCCUCGGCCACUCUUAAUCACUGUGAUCACACACACGGAGAGUGCUCCACACAUGGACACACUCUCUAGCCUCCUCUUUGGUGGCCAGUAUUUCUAUCUCCCUCCAGGCAGGCAUGGUCGGAGCAAACCACCUCCAUGUCACUGGACCGACCUCCAGUGUGAUUUCAGAGUCAGAUGAUGUCACCAGUAACAGGUGUUAAGUAGGCUAGGUUUCCCUGGCAACAGUGGAAUCCUCAGACAUGACUGUUCUCCCCAGUCCAAUCCCCUCUGUCCAUUCAUCCCUUCAUCUCUCUCUCCUCCUCUGUCUCUCUUGCUCAUUGAGGCCAGAGAGAGAGAGAGGAGUGUUCUGGUAGCGUGGUCCCAGACCUGUUUGUUCAGACUGGCGAAUUCAUGACAAUGACAAUAGGAGUUGGCAAGACAGCACAAACAGAUCUGGGACCAGGCUAGAGUUCUAGGCUGCUGGGUGGAGAAAGCUGAAAUUGACACGGAUCCAAUUCCAGGUUCCACAUAUUUCAAUAUAAAAAUAAGCUGUUUGAAUCAUUAACCCUUUGGGCACGCUCUGUCAUGUAAUGUUCUGCACCUUUGUCUUCUCCAGGAGUGUUUAUAUUAUAGGGGAUAUGCCAAUUGCCAACAGUUGAAAAUGUAAAAUGUGUAAGUCAAUUCAUUCUCAGUGGGUUGAUAUGGUUCUGUAAUUUGCUGGUUUUGAGGACCAAUAGCAAUAACUUUUAUGUUGGAUUUAUGUUUUCUUUUUUAGAAUUAAACCCUAUCUGUCAUAGUUGAAAAGAAGCGGUACUUUUUCCUGAAAGGGUUAAAAACAAAAAGCUAAUUGACGCCAAUGAAUAAUUAAGCUAUAACGAGAGUCACAGUAUGUGCUUAUCACAGGAACAUUUGGGGCACUAAAUUGUGAUAGCUAGCAAUAUUAGUGCCACUUACAAGGGAUGCCAUUCAUUGACUGAAGUGCCACAGCAGUGCGCAAAGGGUUAAUUCAAGACUAAGGCCACAAGAGGCCUGUAUCCAAGUUAUUUUUUGCACAUUUUUUUAGAUAUUUUAAAUGUCAGUAUUUUAAAACAUAUUCCAAGUGCCUUUUAUUAUAAGUGAAAAUAUAGAAGAUAUAAAAGUAUAUGAAAAAUGAAAUAUAUAUAUAUGAAUAUAUAUUUUUUCCUGGCAUCGUGUUCUCGAGGUUCUUGAACAUGCUUAAUUUUAGAGUUGUAAAAGUCUCCAAUUGGUACAACAUUGCUGUGUGCUUCUGUUUUAGAGGAAUUUUAUUACGAUAAUGUCAAUGGAAAGAAAAUGUUUAAUAAAGUCGCAUUUGAUACAAUUUAUUUGUAAUUUUUCAGUUACUACAUCCGGAGUGCUGCAUCACACACACCACACCUUAUAUUGUUUUAAAAUCACAUCUAAAUU